GUAACGAGCGCAACCCUUGUCCUUAGUUACCAGCACGUUAUGGUGGGCACUCUAAGGAGGACUGCCGGUGACAAACCGGGAGGAAGGUGGGGAUGACGUCAAGUCAUCCAUGGCCCUUACGGCCUGGGCUACACACGUGCUACAAUGGUCGGUACAAAGGGUUGCCAAGCCGCGAGGUGGAGCUAAUACCCAUAAAACCGAUCGUAGUCCGGAUCGCAGUCUGCAACUCGACUGCGUGAAGUCGGAAUCGCUAGUAAUCGUGAAUCAGAAUGUCACGGUGAAUACGUUCCCGGGCCUU
Molecule: ribosomal RNA, 298 nt
Filed under: uncultured Pseudomonas sp.
Lineage: Bacteria; Pseudomonadati; Pseudomonadota; Gammaproteobacteria; Pseudomonadales; Pseudomonadaceae
Description: partial 16S ribosomal RNA
Rfam family: Bacterial small subunit ribosomal RNA
Source: RNAcentral